RNAcentral lists this ribosomal RNA (130 nucleotides) under uncultured bacterium. Its description in RNAcentral is "partial 16S ribosomal RNA". It matches the Rfam family "Bacterial small subunit ribosomal RNA", at positions 338 to 481 of the family's 1533-position model. The record is from RNAcentral.
CCUACGGGAGGCAGCAGUGGGGAAUUUUCCGCAAUGGGCGAAAGCCUGACGGAGCAAUACCGCGUGAGGGAAGACUGCCUAUGGGUUGUAAACCUCUUUUUUCAGGGAGGAAUAAAAUGACGUGUACCUG